This 668-nucleotide ribosomal RNA is filed under the name uncultured Micrococcineae bacterium. RNAcentral's name for it is "bacterial SSU rRNA". It matches the Rfam family "Bacterial small subunit ribosomal RNA", at positions 97 to 779 of the family's 1533-position model. Lineage: Bacteria; Bacillati; Actinomycetota; Actinomycetes; Micrococcales. The record is from RNAcentral.
GGCGAACGGGUGAGGAACACGUGAGAAACCUGCCUUUCAUUCUGGGAUAACACCGGGAAACCGGUGCUAAUACCGGAUACUCCGUCUUGGCGGCAUCGCCGAGCCGGGAAAAAAUUUUGAUGAAAGAUGGUCUCGCGGCCUAUCAGCUAGUUGGUGAGGUAAUGGCUCACCAAGGCAACGACGGGUAGCCGGCCUGAGAGGGCGACCGGCCACACUGGGACUGAGACACGGCCCAGACUCCUACGGGAGGCAGCAGUGGGGAAUAUUGGGCAAUGGGCGCAAGCCUGACCCAGCGACGCCGCGUGAGGGAUGAAGGCCUUCGGGUUGUAAACCUCUUUCAGUAGGGAAGAAGCGAAAGUGACGGUACCUACAGAAGAAGCACCGGCUAACUAUGUGCCAGCAGCCGCGGUAAUACAUAGGGUGCAAGCGUUGUCCGGAAUUAUUGGGCGUAAAGAGCUCGUAGGUUGUUUGUCGCGUCGAUUGUGAAAAUCUGAGGCUCAACCUCAGACCUGCAGUCGAUACGGGCAAACUAGAGUGUGGUAGGGGAGACUGGAAUUCCUGGUGUAGCGGUGGAAUGCGCAGAUAUCAGGAGGAACACCAAUGGCGAAGGCAGGUCUCUGGGCCAUAACUGACACUGAGGAGCGAAAGUGCGGGGAGCGAACAGGAUU